CUACCUUCAGGAAGUGGUCACUUUCAGUUCCUAGAAUUGCUGCUCGUCUUCUCUUCAAUCUCCUCUUGAGUUUGUUGACCGCUGUUGUUUAAGUGGGUAGAUGUAUAAAGUUUCUGAAGUCUGCAGUUCAUCUUGUUUUCAGCCUUCUUUCAGGAGCAGAUAGCCCAUGUUCAGGAAGAAGCGGUUUACAAGGAAUCAAGUGAGAUAAUUCUGCUUCCUCUCAACAUCUUCCCCUAUCUUGAAGAAACUGCAAAGUUUGUGCAUUACCAAAGCUUGUGCAUUAGACAUUGCCUAAGAAAUGUCAGUCAAGAAGGUUAAAAUGAAAGAAACACGGCUUAGAAUACGUAGAGAACUUGACAGACAACUGGAGUUGAGAGGGGCCUGGGGAAGAACUGGGAGUCCAUGGAAAUCCUGCUUGUCAGUGAUGGUGAACUGGCGUGGCUUGGAUAUUUGAAUCGGCACACCGAGGUUUCCAGCAGAAGCAUUAUAGACAAUAAAUGCAGAACUAGGUU
Molecule: long non-coding RNA, 512 nt
Filed under: Mustela putorius furo (domestic ferret)
Lineage: Eukaryota; Metazoa; Chordata; Mammalia; Carnivora; Mustelidae
Description: lncRNA (ENSMPUG00000031600.1)
Source: RNAcentral